Molecule: transfer RNA, 82 nt
Filed under: Patescibacteria group bacterium
Lineage: Bacteria
Description: tRNA-Leu
Rfam family: tRNA
About the family: Transfer RNA (tRNA) molecules are approximately 80 nucleotides in length.
Source: RNAcentral
GCCCUCGUGGUGAAAUUGGCAGACACGACAGAUUUAGGAUCUGUUGCCGCAAGGCAUGGAGGUUCAAGUCCUCCCGAGGGCA